RNAcentral lists this ribosomal RNA (482 nucleotides) under uncultured bacterium. Its description in RNAcentral is "partial 16S ribosomal RNA". It matches the Rfam family "Bacterial small subunit ribosomal RNA", at positions 30 to 507 of the family's 1533-position model. The record is from RNAcentral.
AUUGAACGCUGGCGGCAUGCUUUACACAUGCAAGUCGAACGGUAACAGGCCGCAAGGUGCUGACGAGUGGCGAACGGGUGAGUAAUGCAUCGGAACGUGCCCAGCCGUGGGGGAUAACUACUCGAAAGAGUAGCUAAUACCGCAUACGAUCUAUGGAUGAAGGCGGGGGACCGGAAGGCCUCGCGCGAUUGGAGCGGCCGAUGUCAGAUUAGGUGGUUGGUGGGGUAAAGGCUCACCAAGCCAACGGUCUGUAGCUGGUCUGAGAGGACGACCAGCCACACUGGGACUGAGACACGGCCCAGACUCCUACGGGAGGCAGCAGUGGGGAAUUUUGGACAGUGGGCGCAAGCCUGAUCCAGCAAUGCCGCGUGCAGGAAGAAGGCCUUCGGGUUGUAAACUGCUUUUGUACGGAACGAAACGGCUCUGGUUAAUACCCGGGGCUAAUGACGGUACCGUAAGAAUAAGCACCGGCUAACUACGUG